Pseudophryne corroboree (corroboree frog) is the source of this 1189-nucleotide long non-coding RNA. RefSeq lists it as uncharacterized. Lineage: Eukaryota; Metazoa; Chordata; Amphibia; Anura; Myobatrachidae. The transcript is spliced from 6 exons. The record is from RefSeq and is a predicted model, not a curated record.
UUUAAGUUACAACUACAGGAUAUUUAGGAGGAACACAGGAAAAGAGUACUUAAUAGGUUUACAUCUAUAUAGGUAAGGCUUAUAAUAAUUAACAAAAGGAGAGUUUAUAGAAGGGAUCAAUUAACCAGUUCAUAGGAAGUGAUGUAAUCCCAGGGGAGAAUAUAAACCCAGACCAAGCUCUAAUGGCUCAUUCACAGUGAGGACAGCACAGAGGACACAAGCUCCAGGAUUGCAGCUAAUAAAAGAUAGGAGCUGUGUAUAACAGUUCUGGAAAUUAGCCAAUAGGAAGCUGAAAUUAUUCUACAUUGGUCCCUACGGAUUUAAAAGUGGGAUAAACUAUAUAGGAAUGUCUCCCUCUAUUUUCACAUAAGACAUCGCUCUUACAUAUAAAAAAUAAGCGCUAACACUCUAAUUCGUCCCCCUGUUGCCUGGGUUAUUUGAGAGUUCUUAGUCAACUACCAUAUCUGCCUGCUUCCCUAUAGUCCUGAUCCAGAAUAAGCCUUCAGGAGAAACUAGAACGGACUCCUCACAAUUAUAGAACCUGACGAUGGCAAGAACUAAACUAUUACAACUGGGAAAACCACAAUGGGAAAUCUGGUCAGAGUGGCAGCGGUCAGGAUGCCAGUGUCCGAAAUACUGGUGACAGAAUCCUGACACACAGCAAAAUCCUGGGCGCAAGAACUCCGUCAUCAAUUGGAAUAGCGACACCGGAAUCCCGACCGUCAGCAUCCCAAGCGUCCGGGCACAGUACCAGUAAUACAGCUUCCUUCUUUCAAGCUGCUCUAAAUAAUUGUACCAGGGAGGAGAAACACAUCUCUUCUACAACUCUACCUGACAGUAAGUGGGUCCUAAGGAUAACUGUCACAAGUAACGGCGUAACUAAUCCCUAAACCACCCUGCAAUUCUAAAGUUGUUGUGGCCAGAACUGGAUUGAAAUUUAUUAGAAACAGUGUUACCAAGUUCCAGUUUACAGACUAACAGCAUGCUGAUUAACCAUAUGGGUUACUACUAAGCUGAACAACACUCUGUGCAUGGAUAACUGUUUUCAUUACAGACUCAGUUGCAGUGAUUAGGAACUAUUUUAAGAUGUAUAGAAUCCAGUUACAGGUUUAUUGUUUUUAAUACACCGACAUGUGUUGAUUAUUGUUAUCAUAAUUUUGUAUAUUAAUAAAUGAAUAAUUUCUGACAA